This 26-nucleotide non-coding RNA is filed under the name Rattus norvegicus (Norway rat). The record is from RNAcentral. Lineage: Eukaryota; Metazoa; Chordata; Mammalia; Rodentia; Muridae.
UGGGAAGCAAAGAGGUUUGUUUUGGC